RNAcentral lists this long non-coding RNA (1003 nucleotides) under Oryctolagus cuniculus (rabbit). RNAcentral's name for it is "lncRNA (ENSOCUG00000033160.1)". The record is from RNAcentral. Lineage: Eukaryota; Metazoa; Chordata; Mammalia; Lagomorpha; Leporidae.
GAUGGAUGGACAGAUGGAUAGAUAUAUCCUAGCGUCUUACCAUCUUACUAGGAGCCUGUUGAUUCAGUUUUCUGGAGAACCCUAAUAAAUAUGUAUUAUCAAGCCCUACCCCAUGAAUAGCCUGUGCAAAUUGUCGACGUGUUUACAUGGCCGUGCUUUUAUCCAAUGCAAUCGAUGUAGAGAAUAGUGAGGUUCUUCUGGGGAAAAGUUGAAGGAAGGAUAGGUAAAUUAGUGAUAUGAUGCAAGCAUUAUAAUGUGGUAUUCAACCUAUUGCUACAGUUAGAUUUAAAUCAGUAUAAAAGCAAAACCUCAGUCAUGAGACAAGUUAGAUGUUAGUAGCUUUAAUAUUAAGUUAAAAAAGUAAAAAUAGUACAUCAUGUUACUUUAAACAGUGCUCCCAGAUUCUAGCCAAGAAUUGCAGAUUUUCGAUAAAACCAUGAAUUUAGAGUACUUGAAGAACUAUUUUUCCCCAUUCUCAAAAACAAGCUGUUUAUUCAAUUAUUGAGUGAUAGGAGAAAGAAAAAAUCAAGUUAACCUCAGUUUGAUUUGCACAAUCCACUGCCAUGUGAUUCUGUUCUUUUCCAUUUCAGUUACUCAGUUCCUCUGUUGAAAUUAUAUUUGUGCUGAAACUGCUAGACCCAGGCUAACAGAUCUGAAUCCAAUCUUUUUGCACAGAGAGAUGGAUCUAAGAGACAACUUUUCUUAUGCGAAGCCAAGUGGAGGGAAGCAGAGCAAAGAGAUGGAUACAGCGUUCUGUGCAUGAAGACCUUUAUCACCCUUCCCAAAUAUGAAUCAAUAAAAUUGCUUUGCUUUGCUUUUUGUUUUACUUAAGUUAGAGUUUGGUUUUUCUCAUGUGUCACUGACCAUUGGAAACAUUACUGAAAUAGGAAUCCUCUAGAAGAAAAUGGCAGUGUCUAUCUAAAUUUCAGAACAAAAACACCAAGCAUUGAUAGAGGCAGGCACGGUAGGGUGAGGGUUGCACAUUGUAUCAUUGCCUAAUGAC